UUAAGUUCAGCGGGUAGUCCUACCUGAUUUGAGGUCAGAGUCAAAAAUUGCCCGAGGGCGAUUGUAAGCAGUCAUCACAACCUUCACCGACGAAACUUAUUACGCCGACUACGGUGCUAUCCCGCUAAGUCUUUUAAGGCGAGCCGGCAGAGCGGCAACACCCAAGUCAAUCUCCUCGGAAACCCCGAGGGAUUGAGUCU
This 200-nucleotide unclassified non-coding RNA is filed under the name Saitozyma sp. RNAcentral describes it as "partial internal transcribed spacer 2". Lineage: Eukaryota; Fungi; Basidiomycota; Tremellomycetes; Tremellales; Trimorphomycetaceae. The record is from RNAcentral.